RNAcentral lists this ribosomal RNA (497 nucleotides) under uncultured bacterium. RNAcentral's name for it is "partial 16S ribosomal RNA". It matches the Rfam family "Bacterial small subunit ribosomal RNA", at positions 28 to 507 of the family's 1533-position model. The record is from RNAcentral.
GACGAACGCUGGCGGCGUGCCUAAUACAUGCAAGUAGGACGCUGAAGAGAGGAGCUUACUCUUCUUGGAUGAGUUGCGAACGGGUGAGUAACGCGUAGGUAACCUGCCUUGUAGCGGGGGAUAACUAUUGGAAACGAUAGCUAAUACCGCAUAACAAUGGAUGACACAUGUCAUUUAUUUGAAAGGGGCAAUUGCUCCACUACAAGAUGGACCUGCGUUGUAUUAGCUAGUAGGUGAGGUAAUGGCUCACCUAGGCGACGAUACAUAGCCGACCUGAGAGGGUGAUCGGCCACACUGGGACUGAGACACGGCCCAGACUCCUACGGGAGGCAGCAGUAGGGAAUCUUCGGCAAUGGGGGCAACCCUGACCGAGCAACGCCGCGUGAGUGAAGAAGGUUUUCGGAUCGUAAAGCUCUGUUGUAAGUCAAGAACGGGUGUGAGAGUGGAAAGUUCACACUGUGACGGUAGCUUACCAGAAAGGGACGGCUAACUACGUG